This is a non-coding RNA of Triticum aestivum (bread wheat), 125 nucleotides long. NCBI's taxonomy places the organism in Eukaryota, Viridiplantae, Streptophyta, Magnoliopsida, Poales, Poaceae. The record is from Rfam.
CAUAUGCUCCCUCUGUCCGGAAAUACUUGUCGGAGAAAUGAAUAAAAAUAAAUGAAUCUAGAAUUAAAAUACGUCUAGAUACAUCCAUUCCUCCGACAAGUAUUUCCGGGCGGAGGGAGUAUAUC